This 410-nucleotide ribosomal RNA is filed under the name uncultured bacterium. Its description in RNAcentral is "bacterial SSU rRNA". It matches the Rfam family "Bacterial small subunit ribosomal RNA", at positions 96 to 518 of the family's 1533-position model. The record is from RNAcentral.
CGGCGACGGGUGAGUAACGCGUGGGUAACCGUGCCGUUAUACCGGGGACGAACAGUUGGAAACGACUGCUAAUACCGCAUAAGCGCACGGGAAGGCAUCUUUACUGGUAGUGAAAAAACUCCGGUGGUAUAAGAUGGACCCGCGUCUGAUUAGCCAGUUGGCGGUGUAACGGACCACCAAAGCGACGAUCAGUAGCCGGCCUGAGAGGGCAAACGGCCACAUUGGGACUGAGACACGGCCCAAACUCCUACGGGAGGCAGCAGUGGGGAAUAUUGCACAAUGGAGGAAACUCUGAUGCCAGCGACGCCGCGUGAGUGAAGAAGUAUUUCGGUAUGUAAAGCUCUAUCAGCAGGAAAGAAAAUGACGGUACCUGACUAAGAAGCCCCGGCUAACUACGUGCCAGCCGCGGC